GCUCAGCCCUGCCUCGGCAGUUUUGAGUCUUUUGACGGUCACCACCACCGCCACUUCACCACCAGCAACAGCACCACCUGCCUCAGCCAUUCCUCCCCCACUCUCAGCCGUUGUGCGGUUACUACGCGCCUCCUCUCGUCCUUCAGGCUUCGCUCGACAAGGUCCGAACCCUAUUCAUUGCUGGGCUUCCUGAUGAUGUCAAGCCCCCGGGAAAUCUAUAAUUUGUUUCUUGAGUUUCCGGGUUACGAGUCUUCGCAUCUUCGGACUCCGACCCAAACUUCUCAGCCAUUUGCAUUUGCUGUUUUCUCAAAUCAGCAGUCUGCUAUAGUGGUUAUGCACACUCUGACUGCCUUAAGCUUGUGGGCCAAAAUGAAGCAUGGGGAGCCUUGACGGUGAUGAGAAUACCACCAUUGCCUGACCAUAUGAACAUAGCCCUAAGAGGUAAACAUAUAUUUUUGAGAGAGAUGAUAUUUGCAGUCGUGGAGUGUGUAAGCGCCGUGCAAUCUCUUUGAAAAAAGUGAGUAAAUAUGAGACCCACAUGAAAAAAAACUAAUUUUUUAAUAGUGAACCUCACUCUUUUUCAAAGCGAUUGUGCGGUGGUUUCGCACUCUACGAAUGUAUGUAGCAUUACUUCUAUUUUUGAACUUGAAACAACAUCUACCACCUUAGAAUCCAGAAGAAUGGGAAAAUGAUCUAACUCUAGUCGAGGUAGUCCCGUUUGACUCAUUUGGAAAUUGAGCUUCCCACUC
Juglans microcarpa x Juglans regia is the source of this 749-nucleotide long non-coding RNA. RefSeq lists it as uncharacterized. The transcript is spliced from 3 exons. The record is from RefSeq and is a predicted model, not a curated record. NCBI's taxonomy places the organism in Eukaryota, Viridiplantae, Streptophyta, Magnoliopsida, Fagales, Juglandaceae.